GAUGAACGCUGGCGGCGUGCUUAACACAUGCAAGUCGAACGGAAAGGCUCCUGCUUGCAGGGGUACUCGAGUGGCGAACGGGUGAGUAACACGUGGGUGAUCUGCCCUGCACUUCGGGAUAAGCCUGGGAAACUGGGUCUAAUACCGGAUAGGACGAUGGUUUGGAUGCCAUUGUGGAAAGUUUUUUCGGUGUGGGAUGAGCUCGCGGCCUAUCAGCUUGUUGGUGGGGUAAUGGCCUACCAAGGCGUCGACGGGUAGCCGGCCUGAGAGGGUGUACGGCCACAUUGGGACUGAGAUACGGCCCAGACUCCUACGGGAGGCAGCAGUGGGGAAUAUUGCACAAUGGGCGCAAGCCUGAUGCAGCGACGCCGCGUGGGGGAUGACGGCCUUCGGGUUGUAAACUCCUUUCGCUAGGGACGAAGCGAAAGUGACGAUACCUGGAGAAGAAGCACCGGCUAACUACGUG
This 466-nucleotide ribosomal RNA is filed under the name uncultured bacterium. RNAcentral's name for it is "partial 16S ribosomal RNA". It matches the Rfam family "Bacterial small subunit ribosomal RNA", at positions 28 to 507 of the family's 1533-position model. The record is from RNAcentral.